RNAcentral lists this long non-coding RNA (804 nucleotides) under Ananas comosus (pineapple). RNAcentral describes it as "long non-coding RNA (ACOM_LNC016935)". Lineage: Eukaryota; Viridiplantae; Streptophyta; Magnoliopsida; Poales; Bromeliaceae. The record is from RNAcentral.
AGAUACCGAGACUGAUUUGCCAAGCGGGGCCGGGACCGAGUGAACGUUAGAUAUAGUUAGUGUUCGAUUUUAGUCUCUUUUGUUUUAUAUCUAGUGUUUUUAGAUGUGAAUUUUGGACUUCGUAAACGAUCAUUUGUUUAUCUGUUUUUGUUUCGUUAUUUCUACGUCCCCCUAUUUUGUUAUUUAUGGAAUCUGUUGGACCGAAAUUUUGUUUGUGUUCCGUAAUAAAAUCGAGUUCUACUUAUGUGAGAAUUUGUUUGAUUCUAGUUGAAAUUAAAUUGCUGAUCUCAUCUCUUGAUUCUUUGGAUUUAGCGGAAAAAUUUGUAAAAAUCUUUUUGCUUGUUUCUGUCUGAUUCUGUAGCCUUAUAUAUUUGCUAAUUUAGCAGGUAUGCGGCGUCUGUUACGCCUCGGGUUCGGGGUGUGACAAUUUCAGUUCGAGUUUCGCAUUUUAUCAACUUAAAUGCCCGUUUCUGUCGUUGCGCACUACAACAAAAACGGUCUAUAGCGACACUUUUAAAUGUAGGUACAUGUCAAAAAAGUGCUGUUAGCUAAAAUUACCGACACUUUUAAAAAGUGUUGCUAUAUGUGGGGUCGCUAGGUAUAUAGUGACAGUUAAAGAGUGUCGCUAUAACCUAAAAGAGUGCUGCUAAUUUACCAACACUUAUUUAAGCAUUUAGCAACCGCCGAAACUCUAUCUCAUUGGCUGCGAUGGCGGAGGAGGACGACAGGAAAGGCUCUUCGUCUAGAAUUUCAGUGGAUUGAGUGAAGAGAGAAGAAAAGAUGGUAAUUGAUUUUUCUUUUCUU